RNAcentral lists this ribosomal RNA (484 nucleotides) under uncultured bacterium. RNAcentral's name for it is "partial 16S ribosomal RNA". It matches the Rfam family "Bacterial small subunit ribosomal RNA", at positions 30 to 507 of the family's 1533-position model. The record is from RNAcentral.
AUUGAACGCUGGCGGCGGGCCUAACACAUGCAAGUCGAGCGGAUGAAGGGAGCUUUCUCCUGUAUUCAGCGGCGGACGGGUGAGUGAUGCCUAGGAAUCUGCCUGAUAGUUGGGGAUAACGUCCGGACACGGGCGCUAAUACCGCAUACGUCCUGAUGGAGAAAGUGGGGGAUCUUCGGACCUCACGCUAUCAGAUGAGCCUAGGACGGAUUAGCUAGUUGGUGGGGUAAAGGCCUACCAAGGCGACGAUCCGUAACUGGUCUGAGAGGAUGAUCAGUCACACUGGAACUGAGACACGGUCCAGACUCCUACGGGAGGCAGCAGUGGGGAAUCUUGGACAAUGGGCGAAAGCCUGAUGCAGCAAUGCCGCGUGUGUGAAGAAGGUCUUCGGAUUGUAAAGCACUUUAAGUUGGGAGGAAGGGCAGUAAGUUAAUACAUUGCUGUCUUGACGGUACCAACAGAAUAAGCACCGGCUAACUUCGUG